This 396-nucleotide ribosomal RNA is filed under the name uncultured Lactobacillus sp. RNAcentral's name for it is "bacterial SSU rRNA". It matches the Rfam family "Bacterial small subunit ribosomal RNA", at positions 505 to 906 of the family's 1533-position model. Lineage: Bacteria; Bacillati; Bacillota; Bacilli; Lactobacillales; Lactobacillaceae. The record is from RNAcentral.
GUGCCAGCAGCGGCGGUAAUACGUAGGUGGCAAGCGUUGUCCGGAUUUAUUGGGCGUAAAGGGAACGCAGGCGGUCUUUAAGUCUGAUGUGAAAGCCUUCGGCUUAACCGAAGUCGUGCAUUGGAAACUGGGAGACUUGAGUGCAGAAGAGGAGAGUGGAACUCCAUGUGUAGCGGUGAAAUGCGUAGAUAUAUGGAAGAACACCAGUGGCGAAAGCGGCUCUCUGGUCUGUAACUGACGCUGAGGUUCGAAAGCGUGGGUAGCAAACAGGAUUAGAUACCCUGGUAGUCCACGCUGUAAACGAUGAAUGCUAAGUGUUGAGGUUUCCGCCUUCAGUGCCGCAGCAAACGCAUUAAGCAUUCGCCUGGGAGUACGACCGCAAGUUGAAACUCAAAG